GUGCCAGCCGCCGCGGUAAAACGGCUUCAACAAGCAAUAGUAAUUUAAAUUGGUGUAAAGGGUACGUAGCUUGUGUCUUAGUGACACUUGAGUUAGAUGGAGGUAAGUACAAUACUUAGAGUAGGGCUGAUAUCUUAUGAUCCUAAGGGGAGUGCUAAUGGCGAAGGCAACUUACCAAGCAAUAACUGACGGNGAGGUACGAAAGUUAGGGGAUAGACAAGGAUUAGAUACCCUAGUAUUCCUAACUGUAAACGAUGUAAAUUAAGAAUU
Molecule: ribosomal RNA, 270 nt
Filed under: unidentified soil organism R6-133
Description: partial 16S ribosomal RNA
Rfam family: Bacterial small subunit ribosomal RNA
Source: RNAcentral